UGGGGAAUAUUGCACAAUGGGCGAAAGCCUGAUGCAGCAACGCCGCGUGCGGGAUGACGGCCUUCGGGUUGUAAACCGCUUUCACCUGUGACGAAGCGAGAGUGACGGUAGCAGGAGAAGAAGGACCGGCUAACUACGUGCCAGCAGCCGCGGUGAUACGUAGGGUCCGAGCGUUGUCCGGAAUUAUUGGGCGUAAAGGGCUUGUAGGCGGUCCGUCGCGUCAGAAGUGAAAACUCAGGGCUUAACCCUGAGCCUGCUUUUGAUACGGGCGGACUAGAGGGAUGCAGGGGAGAACGGAAUUCCUGGUGGAGCGGUGGAAUGCGCAGAUAUCAGGAGGAACACCGGUGGCGAAGGCGGUUCUCUGGGCAUUACCUGACGCUGAGAAGCGAAAGCGUGGGGAGCAAACAG
This 408-nucleotide ribosomal RNA is filed under the name uncultured bacterium. RNAcentral's name for it is "bacterial SSU rRNA". It matches the Rfam family "Bacterial small subunit ribosomal RNA", at positions 355 to 775 of the family's 1533-position model. The record is from RNAcentral.